Molecule: ribosomal RNA, 460 nt
Filed under: uncultured bacterium
Lineage: Bacteria
Description: partial 16S ribosomal RNA
Rfam family: Bacterial small subunit ribosomal RNA
Source: RNAcentral
CCUACGGGUGGCAGCAGUGAGGAAUAUUGGUCAAUGGGCGCGAGCCUGAACCAGCCAAGUAGCGUGAAGGAUGACUGCCCUACGGGUUGUAAACUUCUUUUACAAGGGAGUAAAGUGAGGCACGAGUGCCUUUUUUCAUGUACUUUAUGAGUAAGGAUCGGCUAACUUCGCUCCAGCAGCCGCGGUAAUACGGAGGAUCCGAGCGUUACCCGGAUUUAUGGGGAUGAAAGGGAACGUAGAGGGGUUGUUAAGUGAGUUGUGAAAGUUUGCGGCUCAACCGUAAAAUUGCAAUUGAUACUGGCAAGCUUGAGUACAGUUGAGGGAGGCAGAAUUCGAGGUGUAGCGGUGAAAUGCUUAGAGAUCACGAAGAACUCCGAUGGCGAAGGCGGCCUACUAAACUGCGACUGACAUUGAUGUUCGAAAGUGUGGGUAUCAAACAGGAUUAGAUACCCCAGUAGUC